UACGUAGGGGGCAAGCGUUGUCCGGAAUCAUUGGGCGUAAAGAGCGUGUAGGCGGCUUGGUAAGUCCGCUGUGAAAGUCCAGGGCUCAACCCUGGAAAGCCAGUGGAAACUGCCAAGCUAGAGUCCGGAAGAGGCGAGUGGAACUCCUGGUGUAGCGGUGAAAUGCGCAGAUAUCAGGAAGAACACCAAUGGCGAAGGCAGCUCGCUGGGAAGCGACUGACGCUGAGACGCGAAAGCGUGGGGAGCAAACAGG
Molecule: ribosomal RNA, 253 nt
Filed under: uncultured bacterium
Lineage: Bacteria
Description: partial 16S ribosomal RNA
Rfam family: Bacterial small subunit ribosomal RNA
Source: RNAcentral